UGAGAGUAGUUUUCAGUUGGAUUCCAACCUCAGCCAUUGGUUUAGGACGUAAAGGUAGAUUAGUUUCGGGUAAUAAAUGGAGCUUCUAUGUGAUUACUGCGGAAGGGAGAGGGCAGUAGUCUACUGCAAAUCGGAUACAGUUAGUCUGUGCUUGAACUGUGAUGGAUUGGUGCACUCUGCUAAUGCAAUCUCACAGAAGCACCUUCGUUCUCUCAUUUGCAACAAUUGCAACUCACAACCUGCAGUCAUUCUAUGUGUUGAAGAUAAACUGUUUCUAUGUCAGAGCUGCAGCAGUGACGGGAAUUGCUGCUCAGGUUGUGGACAUCGUCUUCAGACAAUAAAUUGUUACUCAGGAUGUCCCUCUGCCGCAGAGCUCUUAAAAAUAUGGGCUUCUAUCCUCGAUGCUUCAUUGCCACAGGAAGAUGUCAAUAGACUCGAUACUAGCUGGGAACCACAAGAGAUGCUGUCUAUGGAUGAGAAUACCAUGAAGAACUGUUGGGAACCUAAACAACAGGGGUUAAUGGUAAACACAGAGCAGAAUGAACCGGAACCUGGUCUUCCGUCUGAAUCUUGGAUAGGUUCAUCUUCAGAGUUUCCUCCUAACGAAAAGUUGGGACUGUGUGGAGGAGAUAAACCACCAUUACACCCUGAGAACUCAGACGUGGCAAAGGACUGUUCUUCACUGAAGGAUCUUGAAAUUCAUGGUCUCAGUGACCUUUGUGAUGGUUUCAGCAUUGAUGAUGUUGGCUUAAUUUUUGAGAACGAAAGUGACAUAUUUGGGUGCUCACAAAGUCAUCCCAGUUAUGUUUUUGAUGACGUAGCAGUUGGUUGCUUAUUUAUGGACAAAAACUUCUCGGUGGCUGAUUCUGGUGGUCCCAGUGAGGAUAUCAUAGAGGCAUCAUCAUCAGAGCAACAUGACCGUGUGGCCAUUCAGUCCUCUUGUGCUGCAGGAUUGGCCUCUGUGGUCCAGGCUGUGAAUAGUGGAACAGAUCGAGUAUUUCUAAUUCCUGGCGGCAGCAGAAGCAUCAACAUAUGUUUUCCAACUGGACAAGUCCACUCAAGCAUGCCCAACCUUACUAGUGAAAGUAGUGUUGCUGAUUAUGAACAUUGUGGAGUAUCACCAGUGUUUUUAACAAGCGGAUCACCAUGGGAUUUAAAUUUUGAAGGCACUUGCCCACAGGCGAGGGACAAAGCGAAGCUCAGAUAUAAUGAAAAGAAGAAAACACGCACGUUUGGGAAACAAAUAAAAUAUGCUUCCCGAAAAGCCAGAGCAGAUACCAGAAAGCGUGAGAAAGGUAGAUUUGUGAAGGCAGGUGAAGCUUAUGACUAUGAUCCUCUUAAAGCAAGAAAAUUCUGAGACAGAUUACGAUUCUUUUUCCCACAGCAUAGCCUUAUUUAUUAAGGUCCUCCUUUGUAUUUGAGCAUCCUUCAUCAGACAAAGACGACAACUUCGUGACUUCAGAUAGAUCAAUGUAAAUUGGGUUUUCUGAGGAACUGUUAGGUGCAGAAUGGAUAUCCCUCGGCUAAUGCUGUCGGGAGUUUUUCAGUGGUGCUGAUCAACCUGCUUUUUGAGCGGAGUCCUCAAGUGCAGGUUCUUUUGAUUGAUUGCAUAUAGAUAAUUAGAUGAUAUGAGCUACACUUCUUUUGUCCUACAAAAAGAACUGAUCUCUUUUGAUGCUAGUAAGGGGGGUGAAAGAUGUGAUAAUUCAGCCCAAAACUCAAUCAAGAUGAAAUGAAGCACACCAAGUGAAGGCAAUGAUGUUCGCUGGAGCCCAGGAAACAGCUAUAGUGUUGAAAAUCUUUCUGAAAAAUAGACACCCACAAAAGAUAAAAAAAAAAAGAUGAUUCUGUGUGGUAACAAUCUGAAUUUUCUGGGACAUACAAGGGUGCCGAAACAGUUGAGGUUGUCAGAGCAUUAGUGAGACAAGUUAUACAUUAUCCAUGAAAAACUACAAGCACAGAAGAGUUGGUCAUUUUCCCAAGGAUCUUCUUCAGCUGAUAAAGAUUUGGCUCUUGUCCCUUCCACAAAAUUUCUGCAGGAACAGCACCCACAUCUUUGGACCUACUUCUUCUCUGAUGAUCUGUUUGGUGCAUUUCAAAUUCCAAACUUUACGAUCUAACACACAAUGUAAGAGAUCCCAAGAGGUUUCUUUGAAGUGUGCAUAUUGUGGCAAUGAAAAAGCUGCCUCCAGUCACUCAGCCCUGAUGAUUCUAUGAUUCCCCCAUUUCGAACAUCACGUCCACUUCAACCGAUUCCAGAAUGGAAGGCAAGCAAACCUCCAGAAUUAUCUGCUGAUGUUGAUUCUCAAGGAGGUCUAGAGCUUCUGGAUGUGUAGGAGGAAAUGUAAGCAAUUCUUGUGACUAUAAAGUAAAAAUUUCGACAAACUUACAGUGGAAAAUUUUUGAAGGAGAUGUAGAGGAGGGGCUUCUGUAACUUCCUCAGAAAUUUAUAGGUGUUGGAUGAUGCAGAUUCCAAAGAUAACUGCAGUGAAUUUGGGUGCGAGAAUGAUGGAACACCUCAGCUAAUAUUGUGGUGAUGGACAAGUUCCUUAUCAUGCAGGGAAGUCGGAAACUGUGAACAAGAGAGUAACCAGGAAAAAAAAAACCCGGCAAGCUUGAGAACUCUAUAAAUGGAAAGAAAUCAAGCACUAGGAACUUUCCUGUCUCCUUUUACAUUUCCUUUCCUAUUCCUCUGACUGGUGUAGGAUAAUGUCGCCCUUGGUAAAACCAUUGUCCUCAGAUUCCAGUUUGAUGCUCUACUAAAAUUAAUUUUUCUUCUCCAGCUGGGACUACAUAUCUCUCUCUUGAGGUCCUCAGAUGCCAGUAUGAUGCUCUACUCA
This is an RNA transcript of Telopea speciosissima, 2840 nucleotides long. It is a transcript of the gene named putative zinc finger protein CONSTANS-LIKE 11, with no coding region annotated. The record is from RefSeq and is a predicted model, not a curated record. The transcript has 6 exons. NCBI's taxonomy places the organism in Eukaryota, Viridiplantae, Streptophyta, Magnoliopsida, Proteales, Proteaceae.